CCCCAAGGCCAGGGGGGUCCCCAAAUCAGAGAAGAUCCCCACAGUGGGGGGGGGGGGGUCCCAUGGAGGGGUCCCCAAAAUGGAGAAGGUCCCCAAAAUUGGGUGGGGUCCCCAAAGUUGGGGGGUCCCAUGGGUGGGAGGUCCCCAAAAUGGGGUCACCAAGGUGGGGAGGGUCCCCAAAAUGGGGGUCCCAUAGAGGGGGUCCCCAAAACUGGGGGAAUCCCCAAAUUGGGGUGGGAUCCCCAAAAUGGGAAUUGUCCCCAAAAUGGGAAUGGUCCCCAAAAUGGUCCCAUAAAGGGGAUCCCCAAAAUUGGGGUGGGGAUCCCCAAAUUCGGGUGGGGUCCCCAAAAUGGAGGAGGUCACCAAGGUGGGGAUGGUCCCCAAAGUUGGGGGGUCCCAUGGAGAGGGUCCCCAAAAUGGGUGGGUCCCCAAAGUGGAGAAGGUCCCCAAAAUGGGGUCACCAAGGUGGGGACAAUCCCCAAAAUGGGGGGGGGUCCCCAAAAUGCCAGAGGUCACCAAGGUGGGGAGGGUCCCCAAAAUGGGAGGGUCCCAUGAAGGGGGUCCCCAAAAUGGGAGGGGGUCCCCAAAAUUGGAGAAGGUCCCAAAAUGGGGUCACCAAGGUGGGGACAGAUCCCAAAAUGGGGGUCCCAUGGGUGAUGUCCCCAAAACGGGGGGGUCCCCAAAAUGCCAGAGGUCACCAAGGUGGGGACUGUUCCCAAAAUGGGGGUCCCCAAAAUGGGAAGGGGUCCCCAAAAUGAGGUCACCAAGGUGGGGAGGGUCCCCAAAAUGAGGGUCCCAUGAAGGGGGUCCCCAAAAUGGGGGGGUCCCCAAAAUUGGAGAAGGUCCCAAAAUGGGGUCACCAAAGUGGGGACAGUCCCCAAAAUGGGGGUCCCAUGGAGGGGGUCCCUAAAAUUGGGGGAAUCCCCAAAAUUGGGGUGGGGUCCCCAAAAUGGGGGUCCCAUGGAGGGGAUCCCCAAAAUUGGGGUGGGGAUCCUCAAAUUCGGGUGGGGUCCCCAAAAUUGGAGAAAGUCCCAAAACGAGGUCACCAAGGUGGGGAUGGUCCCCAAAAUGGGGGUCCCAAAUUGGGGUGGGGAUCCCCAAAAUUGGGGUGGGGAUCCCCAAAAUUGGGGUGGGGUCCCCAAAAUGGGGUGGUUCCCAAAAUUGGAGAAGGUCCCAAAAUGGGGUCACCAAGGUGGGGACGGUCCCCAAAAUGGGGGUCCCAAAUUGGGGUGGGGUCCCCAAAAUUGGGGUGGGGUCCCCAAAAUUGGGGGGGUCCCCAAAAUUGGAGAAUGUCCCAAAAUGGAGGUCACCAAGGUGGGGAUGGUCCCCAAAAUGGAGAUCCCAAAUUGGGGUGGGGGUCCCCAAAAUUGGGGUGGGGUCCCCAAAAUGGGGGGGGUCCCUAAAAUGGGGGGGUCCCCAAAUUGGAGAAGGUCCCAAAAUGAGGUCACCCAGGUGGGGACGGUCCCC
RNAcentral lists this long non-coding RNA (1467 nucleotides) under Chloebia gouldiae (Gouldian finch). Its description in RNAcentral is "Erythrura gouldiae (Gouldian finch) lncRNA (ENSEGOG00005011544.1)". The record is from RNAcentral. Lineage: Eukaryota; Metazoa; Chordata; Aves; Passeriformes; Passeridae.